RNAcentral lists this ribosomal RNA (446 nucleotides) under uncultured bacterium. RNAcentral's name for it is "partial 16S ribosomal RNA". It matches the Rfam family "Bacterial small subunit ribosomal RNA", at positions 330 to 792 of the family's 1533-position model. The record is from RNAcentral.
CCCAGACUCCUACGGGAGGCAGCAGUGGGGGAUAUUGCACAAUGGGGGGAACCCUGAUGCAGCGACGCCGCGUGGGUGAAGGAGCGUUUCGGCGCGUAAAGCCCUAUCGGCAGGGAAGAAGGAGGACGGUACCUGACUAAGAAGCCCCGGCUAACUACGUGCCAGCAGCCGCGGUAAUACGUAGGGGGCAAGCGUUAUCCGGAUUUACUGGGUGUAAAGGGGGCGCAGACGGCAGCGCAAGCCAGGAGUGAAAGCCCGGGGCCCAACCCCGGGACUGCUCUUGGAACUGCGCGGCUGGAGUGCAGGAGGGGCAGGCGGAAUUCCUGGUGUAGCGGUGAAAUGCGUAGAUAUCAGGAGGAACACCGGUGGCGAAGGCGGCCACCUGGACGACAACUGACGCUGAGGUGCGAAAGCGUGGGUAGCAAACAGGAUUAGAUACCCCCGUA